CCCUUAGAUGUUCUGGGCUGCACGCGCGCUACACUGAAGCGUUCAACGAGUAUUCACCUUGCCCGGGAGGGUUGGGUAAUCUUUUGAAAACGCUUCGUGAUGGGGAUAGAUUAUUGCAAUUAUUAAUCUUCAACGAGGAAUUCCUAGUAAGCGCGAGUCAUCAGCUCGUGCUGAUUACGUCCCUGCCCUUUGUACACACCGCCCGUCGCUCCUACCGAUUGAGUGGUCCGGUGAGGCCUCGGGAUUGUGGCCAGUUUCCUUCAUUGGGAGUUGGCUGCGAGAACUUGUCCAAACCUUAUCAUUUAGAGGAAGGUGAAGUCGUAACA
RNAcentral lists this ribosomal RNA (326 nucleotides) under uncultured eukaryote. RNAcentral's name for it is "partial 18S ribosomal RNA". It matches the Rfam family "Eukaryotic small subunit ribosomal RNA", at positions 1470 to 1796 of the family's 1831-position model. The record is from RNAcentral.